UGACUGAGAUGAACGUGGACUGCAGGGAGAGGAGAGUGUGAAAAACAUGAAACAAAAGGAAGAAUGUGAGGGGUCAGCAGAGGAGAGAGCCAAACAUUCAGCCCUUAUCGGCCAGCACCCUCCUCGCCCCAGCUUACCAGAACUUGAAGAUGAUGCCAGUGGCCACAAGAACGAUGAUGAUAGAGAUGCUUUACCCAGAAUUUUUAGCUCCUUUCCUCCCAAAUCCUUCUCCACUUUCUCAAACCUGGAUACAUGUGAU
Long non-coding RNA from Artibeus jamaicensis (Jamaican fruit-eating bat), 259 nucleotides. RefSeq lists it as uncharacterized. The record is from RefSeq and is a predicted model, not a curated record. The transcript has 3 exons. NCBI's taxonomy places the organism in Eukaryota, Metazoa, Chordata, Mammalia, Chiroptera, Phyllostomidae.